AUACGGAGGAUCCGAGCGUUAUCCGGAUUUAUUGGGUUUAAAGGGUGCGCAGGCGGCCAUUUAAGUCAGCGGUUAAAUCGUGGGGCUCAACCCCAUUCUGCCGUUGAUACUGGGUGGCUUGAUUGCGGUCGAGGUUGGCGGAAUUCGUUGUGUAGCGGUGAAAUGCAUAGAUAUGACGAAGAACACCGAUUGCGUAGGCAGCUGACCAGAUCGCAAACGACGCUCAUGCACGAAAGUGCGGGGAUCGAACAGGAUUAGAUACCCUGGUAGUCCGCACAGUAAACGAUGAAUACUUGUUUUCGGCGAUAUAAUGUCGGAGGCAAAGCGAAAGCGAUAAGUAUUCCACCUGGGGAGUACGCCGGCAACGGUGAAACUCAAAUGAAUUGACGGG
This 391-nucleotide ribosomal RNA is filed under the name uncultured bacterium. RNAcentral describes it as "partial 16S ribosomal RNA". It matches the Rfam family "Bacterial small subunit ribosomal RNA", at positions 523 to 917 of the family's 1533-position model. The record is from RNAcentral.